Molecule: ribosomal RNA, 478 nt
Filed under: uncultured bacterium
Lineage: Bacteria
Description: partial 16S ribosomal RNA
Rfam family: Bacterial small subunit ribosomal RNA
Source: RNAcentral
GAUGAACGCUGGCGGCGUGCCUAACACAUGCAAGUCGAACGGAGUCCAGCCUUUAAGACCUUCGGGUCAAAGAGGGGAAGACUGAGUGGCGGACGGGUGAGUAACACGUGGGCAACCUAGCUCAUAGAGGGGGAUAACAGAGAGAAAUUUCUGCUAAUACCGCAUAAGCACACACUGCCGCAUGGCAGAGGGUGAAAAGAGAAUCGCUAUGAGAUGGACCCGCGUCUGAUUAGCCAGUUGGCAGGGUAAGAGCCUACCAAAGCGACGAUCAGUAGCCGAUCUGAGAGGAUGAACGGCCACAUUGGGACUGAGACACGGCCCAAACUCCUACGGGAGGCAGCAGUGGGGGAUAUUGCACAAUGGGGGGAACCCUGAUGCAGCGACGCCGCGUGAGUGAAGAAGUAUUUCGGUAUGUAAAGCUCUAUCAGCAGGGAAGAUAAUGACAGUACCUGAAGAAGAAGCCCCGGCUAACUACGUG